ACUUAAACCCGAUAGAAGCGGAUACCGGCCUUCGCGCCUAAUGCCUGCAGGCGUAUGAGCGGAUAGCGGGACUACAG
This 77-nucleotide small RNA is filed under the name Mucilaginibacter yixingensis. Its description in RNAcentral is "Flavo-1 RNA". The record is from RNAcentral. Lineage: Bacteria; Pseudomonadati; Bacteroidota; Sphingobacteriia; Sphingobacteriales; Sphingobacteriaceae.